RNAcentral lists this long non-coding RNA (235 nucleotides) under Capsicum annuum. Its description in RNAcentral is "long non-coding RNA (CANN_LNC001486)". Lineage: Eukaryota; Viridiplantae; Streptophyta; Magnoliopsida; Solanales; Solanaceae. The record is from RNAcentral.
UUGUUCUUCUCGUAGUGAGUUUUUUAAAUUAUAUAAACUAUCACAUGUACUUUUAUCUAAAUUUUCUAAGGUUUUUUCUAUCCAUACUAAUUUUUCUUUUAGGUCUUUCAUUAUUUGUCUAAUUCGGUUUCUAUAAUUAAUUUCAUUAUUUAGAUUUUCUUGAUUUUCUCUAGUUUGUCUAAUAUAUUCUAACAUAUCUUAAUCUGAAUAAUAUCCUUCUGGGUAAAUUUCUUCG